UCUUUAAUGUUACUACUUACAUUUCUAAAUUAUGUAUUUUACUUAACUCUGAAAUCAGUUAUUUCACUUAUUUUUUUCUUCAUAUCAUGAACGUUCUAAAAAUAUUCCUUAUAAAUUUGCAUCACUUUUUCUCUUGUGGCUUUUGAAGUUACUAUAUUCUAAACUUGAGAAGAUGGUAUAAAUCAAUAAUAGAAGAGUCACUGGGGAGCUGGUGAGAUGGCUCAGUGGGUAAGAGCACUGACUUCUUUUCCAAAGGUACUGAAUUCAAAUCCCAGCAACCACAUGGUGGCUCACAGCCUCCCAUAGUGAGAUCUGAUGCCCUAUUCUGAUGUGUUUGAAGACAGCUACGGUGAACUUAUAAUAAUAAAUAAAUCUUAAAAAAAAAAAAAAAGAGGUGUCACUGGAGGAGUUUAAUUUUGUAUUUUUUAUAUUUAGGUCCAGCUAUUAAAGUGUGUAAGUCUGGGAAAUUUAAUUUUUUUUCUUAAAUUAGUGCUAUAUACAAAUGUUCUCAGUUUUAUAAGGUGAUCAUGUGCUUUCUGUUUUUAAAUUUACAUUUUCUGAGGUGGUGAAGACUUAGGUUCUGAUCAAUAAGCAUGAUAGGGCAUGUAGACUAUACGGGAAGGCUCCUGAGCCCACAGUAUAUAGUGAGCAUGAUAGGGCAUGUAGACUAUACGGGAAGGCUCCCGAGCUCACAGUAUGCACUGGUCACGCCGGGGAACUGUAGAGUGUAUGGGCUCUGUGUGUAAUUCACGUUCUGACAUCGCCAGAAAGACGGGACUGGGAGCUUCAUGUCUGCAUGAAACUUCCUAUAUCUUUAAUGUGUGUAUAGACUUACUUUUUCUUUAAAUAUUAAAGUCUACCAAUUGCUACAACAGUUCUUGGUUGUUUCCCUCAAUGUAAUGAUGGCCAUAGUGGGAAUGUUAUUUGAGCACAUUUCUCAAUUCUUCAUUAGCCUUUUUUUUUUUUUUUUUUGUACGCUUCUAGGAACUCAAUGAGCAUUUGAGCUUUGAGUUUGCCGAGGUGUAUAGUAUCUAUUUUCACUUUGUUUCAUUCAUGUUCAGUAUAAUGAACUUGGAAUCUUCCAAGGGAAAAAGAUUAGUCUUGAUCCUUAAUUUUGUUAAAUGAUAGAAUAAACUACAAAGGCUAACAGCAGAAAAAGUUUCAAGAAGAGCAGUUUUAUCAUCUGGGGUCGCUUCUCUGAACUCUUCUCAACUGGGCGGGUAGUGUCUCUGAGGACUUCUGCCAGGUGACUCCACAGUGCCUCAGCAGGUGGCUACUGGGUGAGGACUUCACUCUGCAUUCUGACCUGGUAUUUUCUCCUCCCCUAGUGCUUUCUCUCUGUAUUGUCAACUUUUUAUUUCUAUGACAACAUACUUUUAAAGUAAAAGGAUAAUGGGUUUAUU
This 1403-nucleotide long non-coding RNA is filed under the name Mus musculus (house mouse). RNAcentral's name for it is "long non-coding RNA chr19:18705797-18707200". Lineage: Eukaryota; Metazoa; Chordata; Mammalia; Rodentia; Muridae. The record is from RNAcentral.